UACAGAGGAGCCAAGCGUUGUCCGGAUUGACUGGGCGUAAAGCGCACGCAGGCGGACGCGCGCGUGGGGUGUGAAAUCUGGCCGCUUAACGGCCAGGCGCCAUCCCAUACGGCGCGUCUGGAGUGAUGCAGAGGUCGGUGGAAUUGCCGGUGUAGUGGUGAAAUGCGUAGAGAUCGGCAGGAACACCCAGGGGGAAACCAGCCGACUGGGCAUCUACUGACGCUGAGGUGCGAGAGCGUGGGGAGCGAACAGG
RNAcentral lists this ribosomal RNA (253 nucleotides) under uncultured bacterium. Its description in RNAcentral is "partial 16S ribosomal RNA". It matches the Rfam family "Bacterial small subunit ribosomal RNA", at positions 524 to 776 of the family's 1533-position model. The record is from RNAcentral.